UGACAUUACCGAUAGAAAAAGCACCGGCUAACUCCGUGCCAGCAGCCGCGGUAAUACGGAGGGUGCAAGCGUUAAUCGGAAUUACUGGGCGUAAAGCGUGCGUAGGCGGCUGUUUAAGUCAGAUGUGAAAGCCCCGGGCUUAACCUGGGAACUGCAUUUGAUACUGGGCAGCUAGAGUUGAGUAGAGGAGAGGGGAAUUUCAGGUGUAGCGGUGAAAUGCGUAGAGAUCUGAAGGAACACCAGUGGCGAAGGCGCCUCUCCGGACUCAAACUGACGCUGAGGUACGAAAGCGUGGGUAGCAAACAGGAUUAGAUACCCUGGUAGUCCACGCCGUAAACGAUGUCAACUAGCCGUUGGUCUUAUUCGUAAGAUUAGUGGCGUAGCUAACGCGAUAAGUUGACCGCCUGGGGAGUACGGCCGCAAGGUUAAAACUCAAAUGAAUUGACGG
RNAcentral lists this ribosomal RNA (448 nucleotides) under uncultured bacterium. Its description in RNAcentral is "bacterial SSU rRNA". It matches the Rfam family "Bacterial small subunit ribosomal RNA", at positions 470 to 916 of the family's 1533-position model. The record is from RNAcentral.